Molecule: ribosomal RNA, 497 nt
Filed under: uncultured bacterium
Lineage: Bacteria
Description: partial 16S ribosomal RNA
Rfam family: Bacterial small subunit ribosomal RNA
Source: RNAcentral
GAUGAACGCUGGCGGCGUGCCUAAUACAUGCAAGUCGAGCGAACGGACGAGAGGCUUGCUUCUCUGAUGUUAGCGGCGGACGGGUGAGUAACACGUGGAUAACCUAUCUAUAAGACUGGGAUAACUUCGGGAAACCGGAGCUAAUACCGGAUAAUAUUUUGAACCGCAUGGUUCAAAAGUGAAAGACGGUCUUGCUGUCACUUAUAGAUGGAUCCGCGCUGCAUUAGCUAGUUGGUAAGGUAACGGCUUACCAAGGCAACGAUGCAUAGCCGACCUGAGAGGGUGAUCGGCCACACUGGAACUGAGACACGGUCCAGACUCCUACGGGAGGCAGCAGUAGGGAAUCUUCCGCAAUGGGCGAAAGCCUGACGGAGCAACGCCGCGUGAGUGAUGAAGGUCUUCGGAUCGUAAAACUCUGUUAUUAGGGAAGAACAUAUGUGUAAGUAACUGUGCACAUCUUGACGGUACCUAAUCAGAAAGCCACGGCUAACUACGUG